AGUAAAUAGAUACCCGGGUAGUCCACGCCGUAAACGAUGAGCACUAGUUAUUGGGGGUAUUGACUCCCUCAGUGACGCAGCUAAACGCAUUAAGUGCUCCGCCUGGGGAGUACGGUCGCAAGACUAAAACUCAAACAAAUUGACGGGGGCCCGCACAAGCGGUGGAUUAUGUGGUUUAAAUUCGAAGCAACGCGCAGAACCUUACCUAGGCUUGAACUCCUACGAACCUCUUGUAAUGGAGAGGGUGUCCGCAAGGAAAUGUAGUGAGAGGUGCUGCAUGGCUGUCGUCAGCUCGUGUUGUGAAAUGUUGGGUUAAGUCUCGCAACGAGCGCAACCCCUAUCGUCUGUUGCCAGCAUUAAGUUGGGCACUCUGACGAGACUGCCUGGGUUAACCAGGAGGAAGGUGGGGAUGACGUCAAGUCCUCAUGGCCCUUAUGUCUAGGGCUACACACGUAAUACAAUGGCGCGUACAGAGGGAAGCGAACUAGCAAUAGGGAGCAAAAUCUCAAAAAGCGCGCCUCAGUUCGGAUUGGAGU
RNAcentral lists this ribosomal RNA (536 nucleotides) under uncultured bacterium. Its description in RNAcentral is "bacterial SSU rRNA". It matches the Rfam family "Bacterial small subunit ribosomal RNA", at positions 775 to 1304 of the family's 1533-position model. The record is from RNAcentral.